UGUAUUUGCAGAAAUCGUAUUCUGGAUUUCGAUCAUAUUGGGAUGGAUGACUGUUGAUGCAACUGCUGACGAUAAAAAAGGAGAAGAGUGUACUUACAUGUAUUGGCAGUGGUGGAGCUUGCUAUCAACGAACUCUCUGAUGGAACUCGGUUUACAGUGAUUUGAUGAAUGAGAAUUAGAUAAUUAGUAAUUUUAGAAAUUGUAAUCAAUUUAUUAUUUUGUUUGAUUUUUUUUCCCUGACGUGAGAGGUGAAAGAUUGCAGGGAUUAUUUUUUGGAAACUGUAAUCAAUUUGUAAUUUUAUUUGGUUCUUUUUUCUUUAAUGACGUGAGAUGUGAGAUUAAA
Molecule: long non-coding RNA, 343 nt
Organism: Spinacia oleracea (spinach)
Lineage: Eukaryota; Viridiplantae; Streptophyta; Magnoliopsida; Caryophyllales; Amaranthaceae
Exons: 2
Source: RefSeq, a predicted model, not a curated record